GGAAAGCUUAAGGUUCGUUUGAUGCCCCGCAGCUUUUACAAAACCAAGUAUGUGCACUAACGCAUGUGAUUUGCAAAAUAGUCACACAUAUUGCAUUGUGCAUAGUGCUGUAAGAACGAGGUUCUAAAAAUACCAACUUUGCAUACAUAUUUGAGAAGAAAGUAUCGCUAUAUAUUAAACUGGAGUGGAGGAUAUUUCCAUGCAAAGAUGUACACCUAAGUUUUCUGUCUUUUGUUUCCAUUUUGAUUAUCCACCACCUCUGGCGAUAAAGUGUUGUACAACUCAAUAGCCUUCUCAAAAAUGUUUCUUAGCUUGGACCUUGCAUCAUUGUCCGCAAUAAAGGGAGGCUGCUGCUGCAGCACAUUGACGAGCAGAACCGUUUCUUCAUCAUCCGACAAUUCAAUUGGCAGUUUCCCAGUAAAAUAACCCUCAGCAAGGUCUUGCACCAAGUGUGUGAUCAGUUCAAGUUUCCCUAGUAUCUCUGGAAACUUAAUAAAAUCUUCAACUCUUUUGUGGUCGAGUCCCUUCCAUAAUUUCAUCACAUGAUGCAGCUCCUUUGGUUGGAUCAUGCUAGAAAUGCUUUUGAGUAUCCUCAGUGUGAACACAUGAUCCAAAUUCCUCAACUGCGAAGACAGAUUUCUUACGAAUAUUGAGCGGAAUUGUUCAGCAAGUGCAAUGACUGAGCAUCUCUUAUCAGCUCCAGAGAUCUCCAAUUCAUAAUCACGCAACAGUUUAAACAUCACACAUGCUUGCACAUCAUCAAACGGAUCCUUAGCUCCAGAUUUCAUAAGCUUUCCAACAAAGAAUACAAGGAAACCAUAUCCCUCCCAGCGGGAAACAGCAUUAACAGUCAGGUCACUGUAGACACCUAUGUAAUGCAACUUUGCCCAUUUCUUUUGAAGAUUGACGAGUGGACCCUCUUGUACGGCAUUUACAAUUGCUUUUCCGUCAUAAAAUCUUGUCAAAAUGUCCAAUGAUGUUGAACCAUACCCAUCCUGUGAUGCAUCAGGUAUCUGAAACAAAUGCACGAUCCGAGCACCCGCAAGGGACUUAGAUUUCAGGUCAGGAUAAUAUGCAAAUGUUUUGCUUAUUGCAUUCCCCAUAUUAUCAUCUUCUAGACUAGGAAGAUCAGGUAUUGCCCCCUCAAGAUAUACCUGAAUAGCACAGUAUAUGGUUGGGCUACCAAGUCCCGUCCAUAGCUCAAUCGGAUCGAUGAGCACGUAAAGGCAAUGCCUAGGAUCACUAGACAUAAAUUUCAAGUGAGUUUCGUUGAGGAAGUUUCCGCUUAUACUAGCAAGUGACAGACACAAUUUUUUGGUGAUCUCUCCAUCCAAAGAUAAGAGGUGAGAAAUAUCAAUUUCAUAUAGGCAAGGCAUCUGAUGGGCUGAAUCUGCCUUGGCUGCCAUUAGAA
Molecule: unclassified non-coding RNA, 1411 nt
Filed under: Hevea brasiliensis (rubber tree)
Lineage: Eukaryota; Viridiplantae; Streptophyta; Magnoliopsida; Malpighiales; Euphorbiaceae
Source: RNAcentral